Molecule: long non-coding RNA, 381 nt
Filed under: Physcomitrium patens
Lineage: Eukaryota; Viridiplantae; Streptophyta; Bryopsida; Funariales; Funariaceae
Description: long non-coding RNA (PPAT_LNC010996)
Source: RNAcentral
UAUUUAUUUGUUUUCAAAUAAAUUAUAAAAUAAACAAAAAAAAAUCCUAAAGAAUCCCUAAAAAAAUCCAAACCAAAUCCUAAACCAAAUCAAAUCUUAAUUCUAACCAAAUCCUAAUCCUAAUCAAAUCCUAAUUCUAACCAAAAUCUAAAACCUAAUCAAAUCCUAAUCCUAACCAAAUUCUAAUCAAAUCCUAAAUAAGUUCUAAUUAAAUCUAAUCAAACCUUAGUCAAAUCCUAAUCAAACCAUAAUCAAAUCCUAAAAAAAUCUUAAUCCUAAUCAAACUUUAAAUCAAUCCAAAAUCCUAACUCUAAACCUAAACCAAAUCCUAAAUCAAAUCCUAAUCAAUUCCAAGUAAUUUUUAUAAUAGAUUUAAACCUC